RNAcentral lists this unclassified non-coding RNA (242 nucleotides) under uncultured fungus. Its description in RNAcentral is "sequence contains ITS2". The stretch from base 1 to 52 matches the Rfam family "5.8S ribosomal RNA", at positions 103 to 154 of the family's 154-position model. The record is from RNAcentral. Lineage: Eukaryota; Fungi.
AACGCACAUUGCGCCCUCUGGUAUUCCGGGGGGCAUGCCUGUUCGAGCGUCAUUACAACCCUCAAGCUCUGCUUGGUAUUGGGUGUCACCAGCUCUGGUGCACCUUAAAAUCAGUGGCGGUGUCAUUCGGCUUCAAGCGUAGUAAUACUUCCCGCUUCUGGAGUCCGGGUGCGUGCUGGCCAGUAACCCCAACUUUUUUAAUGGUUGACCUCGGAUCAGGUAGGGAUACCCGCUGAACUUAA